AUGCUGCCAGGGAGCAUCCCCGCGCUUGCGCUUCUCGACCCCGCGGACCCGGACAAGCUCUACUUCUUCCUCGGCUCCUGCAUCUUUGCCGUGGACCUGCGACGGAGGAAGGUUGUGGAAUCCGGUGAAUUCGAUAUGCCGGAGCCACCAAACCAGCUGAUCGUGCGCUCUUCCCACUUAGUCCAUGCAUGGCAGUAUGAUCCUUCAAGCAGCCGGUCUGACUCUGACUCUGUCCCGGCAUGCUUGAGGCAGGAGGAGAGUGCUGCUCGGGGCAGCUGGGCUGCUGCCAUGCCUUUCAGACGUAAAACUGGUAAAUUGCAGAAGAAGUUUCGUUACAAUUUAAUCAUGCGGCAGCAACACGGAAUAAUGAUGAAGAAACCCACUUUGCAAGGAGGUUCAUAG
RNAcentral lists this ribosomal RNA (402 nucleotides) under Triticum aestivum (bread wheat). RNAcentral's name for it is "partial small subunit ribosomal RNA". Lineage: Eukaryota; Viridiplantae; Streptophyta; Magnoliopsida; Poales; Poaceae. The record is from RNAcentral.